UACAGAGGGUGCAAGCGUUAAUCGGAGUUACUGGGCGUAAAGGGCGCGUAGGCGGCUUGGCAAGUGGAUGGUGAAAUCCCUCGGCUUAACCGAGGAACUGCCAUCCAGACUGCUUUGCUUGAGGCCGGGAGAGGUGAGUGGAAUUCCCAGUGUAGCGGUGAAAUGCGUAGAUAUUCGCAAGAACACCAGUGGCGAAGGCGGCUUACUGGUCCGGAACUGACGCUGAGGUGCGAAAGCGUGGGGAGCAAACAGG
This 253-nucleotide ribosomal RNA is filed under the name uncultured bacterium. Its description in RNAcentral is "partial 16S ribosomal RNA". It matches the Rfam family "Bacterial small subunit ribosomal RNA", at positions 524 to 776 of the family's 1533-position model. The record is from RNAcentral.